AUCACUUCCUGUCCUUUGGCUGAGGUGAUGCGUGACACCUGCUCUUACCGUUUUAGUAGCACAUACACCCUCUAUAAGAGAACAACACAGUAAAAAUGGACCUUUGGAGCUGGGAGACAGGAUGAGAGCUUGCACUGUCCACUCCAUGCAACAGUCUGGCAUUGCAGCACCUCCAGGAAUGGUGCACCCCUC
This is a small nuclear RNA of Mesocricetus auratus (golden hamster), 192 nucleotides long. Its record names the gene U2. It matches the Rfam family "U2 spliceosomal RNA". Rfam says of the family: U2 is a small nuclear RNA (snRNA) component of the spliceosome (involved in pre-mRNA splicing). Complementary binding between U2 snRNA (in an area lying towards the 5' end but 3' to hairpin I) and the branchpoint sequence (BPS) of the intron results the bulging out of an unpaired adenosine, on the BPS, which initiates a nucleophilic attack at the intronic 5' splice site, thus starting the first of two transesterification reactions that mediate splicing. NCBI's taxonomy places the organism in Eukaryota, Metazoa, Chordata, Mammalia, Rodentia, Cricetidae. The record is from Ensembl.